Lytechinus variegatus (green sea urchin) is the source of this 1296-nucleotide long non-coding RNA. RefSeq lists it as uncharacterized. NCBI's taxonomy places the organism in Eukaryota, Metazoa, Echinodermata, Echinoidea, Temnopleuroida, Toxopneustidae. The transcript is spliced from 2 exons. The record is from RefSeq and is a predicted model, not a curated record.
CAAAAAACACCAUUCAAAUGAUAUUUAAAUACCAUGUUCAUUGACCCAAAAUUAUAUAUGACCUUGAUAAUGUGACCUAAGGCUUGUGCAAGAUGAUCUGUGAUAAUUGUUUACCCCUAUGUCCAAAUUUCAUGAACUAUAUCCAAAUAAUUUCAAAGUUAUGAUGACAAUUCAACAAACACCCCCAACAUGGCCAAAGCUCAUUGACCUUAAAUGAUUAUAGUCAUGUGACCUGAAACCCAUGCAAGAUGUUCACUGAUACUAGAUUACUCCUCUGUCCAAGUUUCAUGAACUAGGUCCAUAUAUUUUCUAAGUUAUGAUGACAUUUCAAAACAUAAUAUCAGAUUUUGAUGUUGAUUGCCCUAACAUGUUCUAAGUUCAUUGACCAUAAAGUUAAUUAAUACUUACAGUAAUUACCCUUAUGUCCAAGUUUUAUGAACUAGGUCCAUAUAUUUUCUAAGUUAUGAUGACAUUUCAAAAACUUAAUUUAAGAUUUUUAUGUUGAUUCCCUGAACAUGACCUAAAUUCAUUGACCCUAAAUGACCUUUGACCUUGGCCAACAUUAAGUAAUACCUGAUUACCUGUAUGUCCAAGUUUCAUGAACUAGGUCCACAUACUUUCUGAGUUAUGAUGACAUUUCAAAAACUUAUCCUUUGGUUAAGAUGUCAAUGUUGACGAUGCCACCGCCGCUCUGCUAUGCAGGCAAGACAGAAAUGAACUUGAACUAGAUCCACUGAGAAUUCCUCUAAUGCCACCUCAAUGAGACCAACACUCUCACAAGACAUCAGCAUUUGUGGGUCCAAGAAGUGAGUGACUUGUAUGAGGAUUUGAAGAGCUCUGGAUAUCAUGUGUGAGCUUAAAAGAACACCAUUCCUUGUGAUCAGACAGUACUUGAAGAUUAUCGCAACAUUAGCAGUUUUCAAACACUAAAUAUAGACAUCAAAUGCAACUGAAACAAAUUUCUGGAAUUCAGCAGUGAUCUCUUCAAACAUACGUCACCAGUUGCUCUCUCUUCUCUUUGUGUAGAAAAAAUAUAUACCUGCGUCUAUUUGGAGUGCAAACCAGUUUAAGAUCGAUCUUGAUCAAUGACACCAAGUUCCAAAGCCACAUUGACUAACCUGCUCCAUCAAUAUAUCAUUAUAAAGGAUAACCUGAAACACUACACUGACAAGCCUCUAGAAAUCAAAAUUUGACAUUGCACUUCUAACACAAGAUUCCAGACUUACAUAUAUUGCUCUGAUUGAAGGAGCAUUUUUUUUGCAAAUUGUGAAAAACCAUUGAAGUGCACAACCCUCA